UUUCUCCCUCCCCUCUGGGAUGCGAAACGCGAGGUUUUGUAACCUUUCCUGGCAAUUUUAGAUUUUGUGUGGGAUUUCCUGUCUAGAAGCAGAUACGAAGAUUUUUAAGCUGUUUCAAGAUGUUUCCUUCCAAUCCAUAAUUAUAUUUUUAAUAUAUUGGAGCCAUCAUUAAAAUCACUGCUUUCGUGAGUGAUUUUAAUUAUUCAAAUAAACACUUGCAUUUUAAAGACGUCUGUUGAUUAUAAUCGAAAGGUAUUUUGGUAUCCUCAUUGUGGAGGGAUGACUUGUUAUAGCAAGGAGUGGAGCAUAGGCUAUUGCAAUUUUAAUUUCCUGUUUUAGCGUCAAAUAGUGUGUGUUCUAUAUUGAGCUGUUGCCGCCGUUGCUGAUGUGGCUUUAUGAAAGUUUUCAGUUUAAAUUCUCAACUGGCAAUUGGCCGAAAACUUCCAUCUGAAGACAUGAUCAUCCAAAUGUCAUUUUGUGAUUUGGCUACUGUCUGCUUGACAUAGGAAAGCACUAUCAAGAAAGACUAAUGGAGUGACUAUCAAAAGGAAGUCAAUGGACAACCUUAAAGUUCCACCACAAGAGGAAUAUAAAGAGGUCCCUCCUGCACCAAGAAAGAUCUGCAGAUCUUUUUCAGUGUUCUUGGAGGUGUGGGGUGUGAGAACUUGAUCAGUUUGUGUCAGCCACCUUGUUCUCUAAAGUUACAAAUUAUAAUACUGUGGUAGAAACAAAUUCAGAUUCAGAUGAUGAAGACAAACUCCAUAUUGUGGAAGAAGAAAGUGUCACAGAUGCAGCUGAUUGUGAAGGUGUACCAGAGGAUGACCUGCCAACAGACCAGACAGUGUUACCAGGGAGGAGCAGUGAAAGAGAAGGGAAUGCUAAGAACUGCUGGGAGGAUGACACAGGAAAGGAAGGGCAAGAAAUCCUGGGGCCUGAAGCUCAGGCAGAUGAAGCAGGAUGUACAGUAAAAGAUGAUGAAUGCGAGUCAGAUGCAGAAAAUGAGCAAAACCACGAUCCUAAUGUUGAAGAGUUUCUACAACAACAAGACACUGCUGUCAUUUUUCCGGAGGCACCUGAAGAGGACCAGAGGCAGGGCACACCAGAAGCCAGUGGUCAUGAUGAAAAUGGAACACCAGAUGCAUUUUCACAAUUACUCACCUGUCCAUAUUGUGAUAGAGGCUAUAAACGCUUUACCUCUCUGAAAGAACACAUUAAAUAUCGUCAUGAAAAGAAUGAAGAUAACUUUAGUUGCUCCCUGUGCAGUUACACCUUUGCAUACAGAACCCAACUUGAACGUCACAUGACAUCACAUAAAUCAGGAAGAGAUCAAAGACAUGUGACGCAGUCUGGGUGUAAUCGUAAAUUCAAGUGCACUGAGUGUGGAA
This 1385-nucleotide small RNA is filed under the name Pongo abelii (Sumatran orangutan). Its description in RNAcentral is "retained intron". The record is from RNAcentral. Lineage: Eukaryota; Metazoa; Chordata; Mammalia; Primates; Hominidae.